GGGGAUUUGGCUCAGUGGUAGAGCGCUUGCCUAGGAAGCGCAAGGCCCUGGGUUCUGUCCCCAGCCCCG
RNAcentral lists this transfer RNA (69 nucleotides) under Rattus norvegicus (Norway rat). It matches the Rfam family "tRNA". From Rfam's summary of the family: Transfer RNA (tRNA) molecules are approximately 80 nucleotides in length. The record is from Rfam by way of RNAcentral. Lineage: Eukaryota; Metazoa; Chordata; Mammalia; Rodentia; Muridae.